UCCAGUUGAUCCUGCUGGAGACUACCGCUACUGGAUUUCGACUAAGCCAUGCACGUCUUGGGUCCCGAGCAUCGGGGCCCGGCACACAGCUCAGUAACACGUGGACAACCUACCCUUUGGAGGGGGAUAACCUCGGGAAACUGAGGUUAAUACCCCAUAGGUGACGAGUUCUGGAAUGACCGUCAUUGAAAUGCGCUGGCUUGUUCUAGCCGGUUGCGCCGACGGAUGGGUCUGCGGCGGAUUAGGCUGAUGUUAGGGUAACGGCCUAACAUACCUACAAUCUGUAUCGGCUAUGAGAGUAGGAGCCGGGAGAUGGACACUGAGACAAAGGUCCAGGCUCUACGGAGCGCAGCAGGCGCGAAAACUCUGCAAUGCGCGAAAGCGUGACAGGGGGAAUCCAAGUGUACUUGUACAACAGGUACUUUUGAGGGAUGUAAAAAGUCCCUAGAAUAAGGGGUGGGCAAGACUAGUGCCAGCCUCCGCGGUAACACUAGCAUCCUCGAGUGGUAGUCGCGAUUAUUUGGCUUAAAGCGUCCGUAGUCGGGCCGCUUAGUCUUCUGUGAAAUCCUGCGGCUUAACCGUAGGGCUUGCAGAGGAUACUGGCGGUCUUGGAGCCGGGAGAGGUUGGGGGUAUUCCUGGGGUAGCGGCGAAAUGCUAUAAUCCUGGGAGGACCACCGAUAGCGAAGGCACCCAACUAGAACGGGCUCGACGAUGAGGGACGAGAGCUAGGGGAGCAAACCGGAUUAGAUACCCGGGUAGUCCUAGCCGUAAACGAUGCAGGCUGAGUGUCUCCUGAACCUCGAGUUCAGGAGGUGCUGAAGGGAAACCGUUAAGCCUGCCGCCUGGGGAGUACGGUCGCAAGGCUGAAACUUAAAGGAAUUGGCGGGGGAGCACCACAAGGGGUGGAGUCUGCGGUUCAAUCGGAUACAACGCCGAGAAACUUACCAGGGGUGACGGCAGUAUGACAGCCAAGCUAAUGACUUUGCUCGACGAGCCGAGAGGUAGUGCAUGGCCGUCGUCAGCUCGUACCGUGAGGCGUGCGGUUAAGUCCGUUAACGAGCGAGACCCGUACCUUUAUUUGCAAUCUACUCCGCGAGGGGUGGAGCACUAUAAAGGGACCGCUGGCGAUGAGUCAGAGGAAGGCGCGGUCGACGAUAGGUCUGUAUGCUCCGAAUCUCCUGGGCUACACGUGGACUACAAUGGCAUGGACAAUUGGAUGCGACGCCGUAAGGUGUAAGCCAAUCCCCUAAACCAUGUCUCAGUUCGGAUCGAGGGUUGUAACUCACCCUCGUGAAGGUGAAAUCCCUAGUAAUCGCUAGUCAUCAUCUAGCGGUGAAUAUGUCCCUGCUCCUUGCACACACCGCCCGUCAAACCAACCGAGUGAAUCAGGGACGAGGCUUUCUCAUUCGGGAAAGUCAAGUUCCAGGCUCGCGAGGGGGGUUAAGUCGUAACAAGGUA
This 1459-nucleotide ribosomal RNA is filed under the name metagenome. Its description in RNAcentral is "bacterial SSU rRNA". It matches the Rfam family "Archaeal small subunit ribosomal RNA". The record is from RNAcentral.